Halichondria panicea is the source of this 1844-nucleotide long non-coding RNA. RefSeq lists it as uncharacterized. NCBI's taxonomy places the organism in Eukaryota, Metazoa, Porifera, Demospongiae, Suberitida, Halichondriidae. The record is from RefSeq and is a predicted model, not a curated record. The transcript is spliced from 4 exons.
CAGUCUCCCGCUUAAUAUCAACGAAUCCCACUCUUCAUUUUUCAGUUGCAAAACAUUUAUUCUUCUUGUAGCACAUCUUCUUGUAGCACAUCUUCUUGUAGCACAUCUCCAAAUACGUGAUUGAUUCUACUCCACCAGAAACUAGUGUCUUCUCUCCCCACCCCAAAUGACCAGUGCCACCUCCUUCUCAAAAACUUUAAAAGUUUGGUUCUGGCUCUGCGCAUGCACACUAUUAAUUUUUAUACUGAAAAUAAAUGUCGCGCAUGCGCAUGCAAGCGAGAUGCGCAUGCAAGCGAGGUAUAUGUGUGCAUGCGGUGUGUGUACUGCUGCAGCUUUUUCCAUGGAGUGUUUGCUAAUCGUAGUAGUCUAGAGGCUGGACGCGCGUCAUCAACCACCUGAUAAAUGCAAGUCAGAAGCGACCUAGGGGUAGUCCCACCUUCCUCACCAAGAGAAUUCCAAUACGGUUCACAGCAAAAACUGCUAACAAGUACAGGAAUUACGGGAUGAUCGUUAAUGCGGAUGAUCGUUAAUGCGGGAUGAUCGUUGUGGGAUGAUCGUUGAUCGUUAAUGUCACACACACGGUACAGGUCACGGACUUUCACGGGGGAGUGGUUUAACGGGAACCGUAGACAACCGUUGCCGUGGGAAGGGGCUGGACAGGCAACUGUAUGAAGACCGUGCAGUCUGACCACAUUAGCUGACGGACAAUAAAGAGACACCGUAUAUCUAUAGAGUUUUGCUACUAUAUAAUUAUGUGCCCACUUCAUCAAUGGCUAUACUAAUAAAAAAAAACAGGGUGUAAAUCUAGUUGAUCAAGACGAGAGUGGAUUAGAGGAGUGGAUUAGAGCCUAGAGCCACAACCAAAGAGGACCAGAUCUAGAGCUGCUAGUGUCCUGUGUCCUCACUUGCGAUCAGCACAUAUCCAAAUCUAGUUAUUACCCUAUUCAGAUACAGACCUGAGUGACCAUAACUUGCCUGGAUAGCUAUAUUCAACUGGAGUUGUACUGUCGACUCGUUAUAAUAAUAAUAAACUUGCACUGUUUUAUAUUAUUCUUACUGGUAGGAAGAGGAUCUAGGAGGAGGAGCUCGUAAUUGCGCAUGCGUAGUAUGAAACCCACAUUUUAAGCGGGAUGAUUGGAGAAGCUGAGGACUUGGAUUUUAAGAGCCUUCACGUUGACGUUGAGCAUGAGAGAGCCGGUUCUCUAGCUUUAUGGAAGGAAAGCCUGUACGUAUCUGUUCAUGAACCAGUCAAAAAGUGUGUUAAGACAAAUGCUCAUGUGAUCAAUCAAUGACAAUCGCGUACUGGGCGUGGAAUCAAAAAUAUGAUGUGUCAUGACAGUGGACAUUACAGGCACCCAUUAACGUGUUGAAAACGACUCGUUGGAGAAUCAGGUAUGUAAUUCUCAUUAUGAUGAUUUAAUAAUUAUAGGCACAAGAAAAAACAUAAUAGAAUCUCAGGUGAGAUAUUAAUGUCAGUGUUUAAACAUAUAAUAAUGUGCUUGUGUAUUACUAGUACAGUAAUGUUGCAGACGUAAACCAAUGUCAGUUCUUAUGAUCGUUCUCAAGGCCUGGAAACUGCUACUAAAUCAUAAAGGUACUAUUUCUCACAAUGUAAUUAUUGUCUAGGUAUCGAUGUCGAUCUCAGAUAUGUCGAUUCUGUUAAAUUACCGACCGGCUACCAUGAUCAUACAAGUCAUUGAAAGUGAACAUAAUGAUGGUAAAUAAUACAAGUCAACACUAGGUAGCCUUUAAGUCACUCAUUUUGUGUCCAGCUAGCUGUUGUCUUGUGUUUCUGUUGUCUUGUGUUUCUUGUCUUGUUUCUUUCUGAUGCAUGCUGAUGCAUG